Molecule: ribosomal RNA, 335 nt
Filed under: Phagomyia assamensis
Lineage: Eukaryota; Metazoa; Arthropoda; Insecta; Diptera; Culicidae
Description: eukaryotic LSU rRNA
Rfam family: Eukaryotic large subunit ribosomal RNA
Source: RNAcentral
CUGCGCGCGACAUGGUCGUCCUCCGGAACACCAAAGGCGCAAAAAACAUAACUUGAGUUGUGCGGGAUUACGGGCGCGGCUCUCCGCAGCGUCCCUCCAUCCCCGGGUGUUGUACGCGGCAUGCGGUGGCGGGCCCUCGGGCUCGCCGCCGUGCCACAACAUACCGUGAGUGUGCAGGAUGUGACCCGAAAGAUGGUGAACUAUGCCUGAUCAGGUUGAAGUCAGGGGAAACCCUGAUGGAGGACCGAAGCAGUUCUGACGUGCAAAUCGAUUGUCAGAAUUGGGCAUAGGGGCGAAAGACCAAUCGAACCAUCUAGUAGCUGGUUCCUUCCGAA